Molecule: transfer RNA, 76 nt
Filed under: bacterium
Lineage: Bacteria
Also listed under: 1 other name
Description: tRNA-Met
Rfam family: tRNA
About the family: Transfer RNA (tRNA) molecules are approximately 80 nucleotides in length. Their secondary structure includes four short double-helical elements and three loops (D, anti-codon, and T loops). Further hydrogen bonds mediate the characteristic L-shaped molecular structure. tRNAs have two regions of fundamental functional importance: the anti-codon, which is responsible for specific mRNA codon recognition, and the 3' end, to which the tRNAs corresponding amino acid is attached (by aminoacyl-tRNA synthetases). tRNAs cope with the degeneracy of the genetic code in two manners: having more than one tRNA (with a specific anti-codon) for a particular amino acid; and 'wobble' base-pairing, i.e. permitting non-standard base-pairing at the 3rd anti-codon position.
Source: RNAcentral
CGCGGGGUGGAGCAGUUGGCAGCUCGUCAGGCUCAUAACCUGAAGGUCGGUGGUUCGAGUCCACCCCCCGCUACCA